UACGGGGGGAGCAAGCGUUGUUCGGAUUUACUGGGCGUAAAGAGCGCGCAGGCGGUCGUGCAAGUCGCGUGUGAAAGCCCCCGGCUCAACUGGGGAGGGUCACGCGAUACUGCUCGACUCGAAGGCAGGAGAGGGAAGUGGAAUUCCCGGUGUAGUGGUGAAAUGCGUAGAUAUCGGAAGGAACAUCAGUGGCGAAAGCGACUUCCUGGACCAAUACUGACGCUCAUGUGCGAAAGCGUGGGGAGCAAACAGG
RNAcentral lists this ribosomal RNA (253 nucleotides) under uncultured bacterium. Its description in RNAcentral is "partial 16S ribosomal RNA". It matches the Rfam family "Bacterial small subunit ribosomal RNA", at positions 524 to 776 of the family's 1533-position model. The record is from RNAcentral.